GCGCACGGCUCAGUAAAACGUGGACAACCUGCCCUCGGGUGGGGGAUAACCCCGGGAAACUGGGGCUAAUACCCCAUAGGUGAUGGGUGCUGGAAUGCCCCAUCACCGAAAGCUCCGGCGCCCGAGGAUGGGUCUACGGCGGAUUAGGUUGUUGGCGGGGUAACGGCCCGCCAAGCCGAAGAUCGGUACGGGCUGUGAGAGCAGGAGCCCGGAGAUGGACACUGAGACACGGGUCCAGGCCCUACGGGGCGCAGCAGGCGCGAAACCUCCGCAAUGCGGGAAACCGCGACGGGGGGACCCCGAGUGCCGUGGCACCGCCACGGCUUUUCCGGAGUGUAAAAAGCUCCGGGAAUAAGGGCUGGGCAAGGCCGGUGGCAGCCGCCGCGGUAAUACCGGCGGCCCGAGUGGUGGCCGCUAUUAUUGGGCCUAAAGCGUCCGUAGCCGGGCCCGUAAGUCCCUGGCGAAAUCCCACGGCUCAACCGUGGGGCUUGCUGGGGAUACUGCGGGCCUUGGGACCGGGAGAGGCGGGGGGUACCCCUGGGGUAGGGGUGAAAUCCUAUAAUCCCAGGGGGACCGCCAGUGGCGAAGGCGCCCCGCUGG
RNAcentral lists this ribosomal RNA (600 nucleotides) under uncultured archaeon. Its description in RNAcentral is "bacterial SSU rRNA". It matches the Rfam family "Archaeal small subunit ribosomal RNA", at positions 81 to 683 of the family's 1478-position model. The record is from RNAcentral.